Molecule: ribosomal RNA, 492 nt
Filed under: uncultured bacterium
Lineage: Bacteria
Description: partial 16S ribosomal RNA
Rfam family: Bacterial small subunit ribosomal RNA
Source: RNAcentral
AGUGAACGCUGGCGGUAUGCCUAACACAUGCAAGUCGAACGGCAACACAUUUAGGGCUUCCGCUGAGGGGCGGCCGGUUGCGUAAUAGAUCGGAAUGCGCCGGAAUCUGCUUUUUCAUGGGGGGUAAGGUAUGGUAACUUACGCUACUACCGCCUACUACCUGCGGGGGAAAGCCGGGGAUCUUCGGACCUGGCGCGCUGAAAGGAGCCGAGGUCGGAUUAGGUAGUUGGGGGGGUAAAGGCCCACCAAGGCGACGAUCCGUAGCUGGUCUGAGAGGAUGAUCAGCCACACUGGAACUGAGACACGGCCCAGACUCCUACGGGAGGCAGCAGUGGGGAAUAUUGGACAAUGGGCGCAAGCCUGAUCCAGCCAUACCGCGUGGGUGAAGAAGGCCUUCGGGUUGUAAAGUGCUUUUGUAGGGAACGAAAAGCAUCAGGCUAAUAAAGCGGGGUCAUGACGGUACCCAAAGAAUAAGCACCGGCUAACUUCGUG